ACGCUGGCGGCACGCCUAACACAUGCAAGUCGAACGAAGUAGCAAUACUUAGUGGCAGACGGGUGAGUAACAUGUAGGUAUCUGCCCUUUGGCCUGGAAUAACACGAGGAAACUUGUGCUAAUACCGGAUAAGUCUUUACGGAGAAAGCUUUAUGCACCAUUGGAUGAGCCUGCACUUGAUUAGUUUGUUGGUGGGGUAAUGGCCUACCAAGACUGUGAUCAAUAGCUGAUUUGAGAGGAUGAUCAGCCACAUUGGGACUGAGACACGGCCCAAACUCCUACGGGAGGCAGCAGUGGGGAAUCUUGCACAAUGGAGGAAACUCUGAUGCAGCGAUGCCGCGUGAGUGAAGAAGGCCUUUGGGUUGUAAAGCUCUUUCGUCGGGGAAGAAAAUGACUGUACCCGAAUAAGAAGGUCCGGCUAACUUCGUGCCAGCAGCCGCGGUAAUACGAAGGGACCUAGCGUAGUUCGGAAUUACUGGGCUUAAAGAGUUCGUAGGUGGUUGAAAAAGUUAGUGGUGAAAUCCCAGAGCUUAACUCUGGAACAGCCAUUAAAACUUUUCAGCUAGAGUAUGAUAGAGGAAAGCAGAAUUUCUAGUGUAGAGGUGAAAUUCGUAGAUAUUAGAAAGAAUACCAAUUGCGAAGGCAGCUUUCUGGAUCAUUACUGACACUGAGGAACGAAAGCAUGGGUAGCGAAGAGGAUUAGAUACCCUCGUAGUCCAUGCCGUAAACGAUGUGUGUUAGACGUUGGAAAUUUAUUUUCAGUGUCGCAGGGAAACCGAUAAACACACCGCCUGGGGAGUACGACCGCAAGGUUAAAACUCAAAUGAAUUGACGGGGACCCGCACAAGUAGUGGAGCAUGUGGUUUAAUUCGAAGAUACGCGCAGAACCUUACCAACACUUGACAUGUUCGUCGCGACUCUAAGAGAUUAGAGUUUUCGGUUCGGCCGGACGAAACACAGGUGCUGCAUGGCUGUCGUCAGCUCGUGUCGUGAGAUGUUGGGUUAAGUCCCGCAACGAGCGCAACCCUCACUUUUAGUUGCCAUCAUUAAGUUGGGCACUCUGAAAGAACUGCCAGUGAUAAGCUGGAGGAAGGUGGGGAUGACGUCAAGUCCUCAUGGCCCUUACGUGUUGGGCUACACACGUGCUACAAUGGUAUCUACAACAGGAAGCAAGACUGCGAAGUUAAGCAAAUCCCUAAAAGAUACCUCAGUUCGGAUUGCACUCUGCAACUCGAGUGCAUGAAGCUGGAAUUACUAGUAAUCGUGGAUCAGCGUGCCACGGUGAAUGCGUUCCCGGGUCUUGUACUCACCGCCC
RNAcentral lists this ribosomal RNA (1315 nucleotides) under uncultured Alphaproteobacteria bacterium. Its description in RNAcentral is "uncultured alpha proteobacterium 16S ribosomal RNA". It matches the Rfam family "Bacterial small subunit ribosomal RNA", at positions 33 to 1395 of the family's 1533-position model. Lineage: Bacteria; Pseudomonadati; Pseudomonadota; Alphaproteobacteria. The record is from RNAcentral.